Molecule: long non-coding RNA, 789 nt
Filed under: Hordeum vulgare
Lineage: Eukaryota; Viridiplantae; Streptophyta; Magnoliopsida; Poales; Poaceae
Description: long non-coding RNA (HVUL_LNC016865)
Source: RNAcentral
GGAAUGUCAGGAACCCCUACAAAGAUACACCGAGAAUGUCCGAGAAAAUUAAGAAACCCCCCAAGGGACGGGCCGCGGCGUCGUAUCGCACCCCAAAAAACGCACAGCGGCACGGGUCCGGGUCCGGUCCCGGCCGCCCUCCCGUCCGAAAGAACCAUCGGCGUGGUCUGGGGUGACGCCCAAGGGGCACGUCGGUCAUCGCGGUACGCGGCUACCAUGAACAUGUGGGGGAGGAGCUGACCGGAAAAGCGACGAUUAUAUUUAACGGCAAGGGGAUGGAGAGGGACCGCAUAAAACAAGUGCCAUGUCGUAAACAAGCGGCUAGCGGAGAGGGGAGGAGCAGAGUCUGGCCUAGAUGCACCGUCGAGAUCACAGCACAGGGGAAGGAAGGAAGUGGCCCGUCGGACGGCCUAAGGGUCGGGUUAGUCGCCGGUGAUGCACGGGCCGGGCACGAGAGGGGAGACGUGCCGCUGCGUCUUUCCUUCCCCCUCGGGCUUGACCGGACCGGACCGGAACGAGAUUGGCACAAGGCUGGCCUACAUCUGCAUGUGUUUGUUAUAAGGUCAGCUGUGUGUCAGUUCGUUCGUUCGUUCGUUGGGCAGCUGUGUGUCAGUUCGUUGGCGCUUAACACCUGAUGAGAUCCGCGGAUUCAGAUGGUUAGGUUUCUUGUUAUGAAAUCACCUUAUCAGUGUUUAAAAUUCUAGACUUGACACUCAUGCUUGUAUCUUUUUUAUAAAAAAAAUUACUACAGCCUUUCAAGGGGUGUUUAUUUAAUGAAAGAAAACAUUU